GAAAAAGUUUGAAAACACUGCAAAAAGUUGAAAAGGGUUGAAAAAAGUUGAAAACACUCUAAAAAGAAAUCUUAAAAAACCUGAUAAAGUUAAAAAACCUGAAGGUUGUAAAACUUGCAAAAGGCUGAAAAAGUUGACGAAGUUAGAAAGACCUGAAAAACAGUUUUAAAAAAAGUAAAAAAAAGAAACCUUAAAAAGGUUUAGAAAUACUUAAGUUGGAAAAGAUUAAAAAA
Molecule: long non-coding RNA, 233 nt
Organism: Salarias fasciatus (jewelled blenny)
Lineage: Eukaryota; Metazoa; Chordata; Actinopteri; Blenniiformes; Blenniidae
Exons: 3
Source: RefSeq, a predicted model, not a curated record